RNAcentral lists this small nuclear RNA (174 nucleotides) under Setaria italica (foxtail millet). Its description in RNAcentral is "snRNA U1". It matches the Rfam family "U1 spliceosomal RNA". Rfam says of the family: U1 is a small nuclear RNA (snRNA) component of the spliceosome (involved in pre-mRNA splicing). Its 5' end forms complementary base pairs with the 5' splice junction, thus defining the 5' donor site of an intron. Lineage: Eukaryota; Viridiplantae; Streptophyta; Magnoliopsida; Poales; Poaceae. The record is from RNAcentral.
UUACUUACCUGGACAGGGUCUAUGGGUGAUCAAGGAGCCUCAUGGACCAGUGGCCUGCAUUGCAUUGGCGGGUGCGUUGGUCUACCGUCUCCUCAAGUGCCUCAAGUGGGAGAUUGGACGUCAUAAUUUGUGGAAGAAGAGAUACAAUUCAAAUAUAAGAUUACUGUUUUUUUC